This is a non-coding RNA of Phrynosoma platyrhinos (Desert horned lizard), 72 nucleotides long. Lineage: Eukaryota; Metazoa; Chordata; Lepidosauria; Squamata; Phrynosomatidae. The record is from the annotation of a GenBank genome assembly.
GAGAGUGUGGCGUAGUGGUUUGAGAGUUGGACUGUGACUCUGGAGACCAGGCUUCGAUUCCCAGCUCAGCCA